This is a long non-coding RNA of Oncorhynchus gorbuscha (pink salmon), 2059 nucleotides long. RefSeq lists it as uncharacterized. The record is from RefSeq and is a predicted model, not a curated record. NCBI's taxonomy places the organism in Eukaryota, Metazoa, Chordata, Actinopteri, Salmoniformes, Salmonidae. The transcript is spliced from 3 exons.
AUCAACUACUUGUGGCGGGCCCAGGCGCCUGCAGGCUGACUCUGGUCGUCAGUUGAACCGUGUUUCCUCCGACACAUUGGUGCGGCUGGCUUCCGGGUUAAGCGAGUGGGUGUUAAAGAGCGCGGUUUGGCGAGUCAUGUUUCGGAGGACGCAUGACCCUACCUUCGAAUCUCCCGAGCCCAUUGGGAGAGUCGCAGCGAUGAGACAAGAUUGUAAUUGGGAAGAAAAAGCCUCAGUGCCAAUAUCUUCGCGAGGUGAUUGAAAACGGGUGCUGUUUGUGUGGAGUGAAACGUCUUGGGAAGCCAACGGCUCAGCCGCAAUGUGGUAGGCCACACAAGAUUACAGAACGGGACUGCAGUGUACCCUGCUACGAUGUGCCCUUAUGAACAUGGCCCAGGACAGGGAUAUCCGUCUGGCCUGCCUGGUCUCUGGGUCUAAGGAGUUGAAAAAUGGACGCAGAAACGCCUAGGAACAACAUCAAAAGCAGACAUUUGGAGCAUGUAAACAUAUGCAACUACACCCACGCUAGCAUGUGCAUAUCACGCCUCACAAAUGCUGCGCUCCAACAUCAAUGACACUGCCGGGGGUGCCGCUGCGCCACGGUCUCCGCAACAUAAAAAAAACAUUCAAGAGCUGAACUGCAACAUUCACGUUUACAACCAGAAAAGAAAAUUAGGCUCAGGAUUAGAAAAUAUGACCUGUUUUCAGUAAUACCAUGUUCAUUCUCCUGGAAGGGCUGAUGAGUUCCUUCCUGUUUUCCCACUGUCAAUAACUUGCCCCUUCAAACACGUGCUGACCUGUGUGUGCGUGUGUGUGACAACGACUGAAGUGUGUGUAAAACUGAGGUCCUGCCAAGGACAGUUUGGUGUAUAUGCAUGCAUCAUGCAUUCAAAAGUUAGGUGGCUGCAGAGUACAAACAAACCCAAUGACAUUGGAAUUCAGUAGUGAGCACGACAGACGCUGGGGUCUGUGUAUCCAUCUGCCCAUGGUUUACCUGUUUGGUUGAUUUCUAUUCUGGUCCCAUUGGUUACCUUGUCCAGAAGCCGGAUGAAGCUGGCUUCAAAAUCUAGAACAUACACAAAAAAAUAUGUCAAUAAAAGUGUGUUCAACCCCAAUAACAACCUUAUCUAUUUAUUAGGCACAUGCAGCAUUUACUUGACUGUCUACAAACAGCUAUGGGAUAUUUUGCAGAAUUAAGGGUGUGUGUUUAUAGAAGCAUGAUUUUCUAUAGAGCUGAACCAAAGGAGUGUUAGUCUUUGGUUGAACACAAAUGCUAGCUGGGUAGUGACUGCUGCCUAGCUAAUGUUAACUAACAAAACCCUCAAAAGGGAUCACAUGAAUAUUCAUUGUUAUGUAGCUAUGGUCCUACUGUAUCAUGCAUUAGAUGUUGUCCAAUAACUUAGCUGGUUGAUUAAGUUAUAGGUCAUUUGUGCCAAAAAGCAACAAUUCGGUCUACUUGGGCGUGCUGGAAUGGAUGAACUUUAACUGCGUAGUAACAGCUAGCUAGGUAAUGCUAGCCAUAUGUAAUAAUGCGACGCCACAUUGGUGUUUUGCAGUCCACUUACCUCUAAGUCCUGGGUUAUCGUCUUUAGAUCGAAUGUUUCUGAUUUUGACUCUUUUGCCACUUAGUGUUGACAACACUAGUCGUUGUCUGAAAAAAUUACAACCAUCGUAAGUGAAUCCCUGGCUUGCCAUGCUGUUGUUAUUUCCACACGUGUGUUCAAUAUGGGGAGUCGAGAGAGUAAAGGGUUAACUACGGGACGCCACGAGGGACAUGAAGGGCAUUUUAAACGUGGUAUUCGUAUUAACCACCAGAUGGCGCCAUAAGCAUAGCUUUAAACCCGGUAUCUCGAGCUUUAUCAAACACCACAGGACACAAAGUUCAGACAGAGAGGGUUAUGAUGAGAAACAUUUUGACCGUGGGUAAAUAUCAGUAAUUAUUCAAUAAUUUAUUUAUUCUCUGUCCAAAUGGUCUUUGGUUAAAAUAAAAGCCUAUGUAAAAAACACAUACCCUUAUGGCUCAUUUCCAUACAUUUCCAUAUACCAUUGUUCUCCAGAA